RNAcentral lists this ribosomal RNA (223 nucleotides) under uncultured Actinomycetales bacterium. Its description in RNAcentral is "partial 16S ribosomal RNA". It matches the Rfam family "Bacterial small subunit ribosomal RNA", at positions 106 to 334 of the family's 1533-position model. The record is from RNAcentral. Lineage: Bacteria; Bacillati; Actinomycetota; Actinomycetes; Actinomycetales.
GUGAGUAACACGUGGGUGAUCUGCCUUGCACUUCGGGAUAAGCCUGGGAAACUGGGUCUAAUACCGGAUAGGACCAUGCUUUAGUGUGUGUGGUGGAAAGUUUUCGGUGCAAGAUGAGCCCGCGGCCUAUCAGCUUGUUGGUGGGGUAAUGGCCUACCAAGGCGACGACGGGUAGCCGGCCUGAGAGGGUGUACGGCCACAUUGGGACUGAGACACGGCCCAG